CCACCUGAUCCCAUCUCGAACUCAGAAGUGAAACGAGUUAACGCCAAUGGUAGUGCAGGGUCUCCCUGUGUGAGAGUAGGAAAUCGUCAGGC
RNAcentral lists this ribosomal RNA (92 nucleotides) under Gammaproteobacteria bacterium. Lineage: Bacteria; Pseudomonadati; Pseudomonadota; Gammaproteobacteria. The record is from RNAcentral.